Molecule: ribosomal RNA, 434 nt
Filed under: uncultured bacterium
Lineage: Bacteria
Description: partial 16S ribosomal RNA
Rfam family: Bacterial small subunit ribosomal RNA
Source: RNAcentral
AGCGAACGCUGGCGGCAGGCCUAACACAUGCAAGUCGAACGAACCUUUCGGGGUUAGUGGCGGACGGGUGAGUAACACGUGGGAACGUGCCUUUAGGUUCGGAAUAACUCAGGGAAACUUGUGCUAAUACCGAAUGUGCCCUUCGGGGGAAAGAUUUAUCGCCUUUAGAGCGGCCCGCGUCUGAUUAGCUAGUUGGUUGAGGUAAUGGCUCACCAAGGCGACGAUCAGUAGCUGGUCUGAGAGGAUGAUCAGCCACAUUGGGACUGAGACACGGCCCAAACUCCUACGGGAGGCAGCAGUGGGGAAUCUUGCGCAAUGGGCGAAAGCCUGACGCAGCCAUGCCGCGUGAAUGAUGAAGGUCUUAGGAUUGUAAAAUUCUUUCACCGAGGACGAUAAUGACGGUACCCGGAGAAGAAGCCCCGGCUAACUUCGUG